GUGGUUGUGACUCAGUGGUAGAGUGCUUACCUAGGAUGUGGGAGGCUCUGGGGUCCAUUCUCAGCACCACU
RNAcentral lists this transfer RNA (71 nucleotides) under Ictidomys tridecemlineatus (thirteen-lined ground squirrel). RNAcentral describes it as "Spermophilus tridecemlineatus (thirteen-lined ground squirrel) tRNA". It matches the Rfam family "tRNA". Rfam says of the family: Transfer RNA (tRNA) molecules are approximately 80 nucleotides in length. Their secondary structure includes four short double-helical elements and three loops (D, anti-codon, and T loops). Lineage: Eukaryota; Metazoa; Chordata; Mammalia; Rodentia; Sciuridae. The record is from Rfam by way of RNAcentral.